Molecule: RNA transcript, 4612 nt
Organism: Rhineura floridana
Lineage: Eukaryota; Metazoa; Chordata; Lepidosauria; Squamata; Rhineuridae
Gene: THEMIS2
Gene name: thymocyte selection associated family member 2
Exons: 8
Source: RefSeq, a predicted model, not a curated record
CUGUUUCUUUUCACCAGUACAUCUGCGACCUGGACCGCCGCUCCCUGCCUAGAGUGGUGAAAAUCUGCUCCGGAGUCUACUUUCAAGUCAUUACGUUGCCACCAGUACUGAACAGGCGUUCUACUGCGGCGCUUGAAGGCAUGCCUGUGUUGUGCAGCACACGUGGAAAGCCAUGGAGUGAUGACACUUCCCUGCUGGGAGACCUCAGGGUCUGUUUAUGAAAUCUCUGGCAAUGAAUGCUGCUUAUCCACAGGAGAUCUGAUGAAAAUUGUUGAUGUUCAGCUGCAAAAUGUCACCUGCAAGAAUGUGGAGAAUGGGCACAUUUUUGAGUUGCCACUAGAUUUUAAAGGUCUUUUUCAUCCCAGUCCAAGAGUGCCAUAUGAAGCCCAGGGGGAACCUUUCCCCCUGGGCUCUCCCUUCCGUAAGUACAACUUCUUCCAGUGCCAUCAGCCACAGUCCUACACACUUCAGGAGGUCUUGCAGUCAGCAGCCAUACGGUGGAAGAGGCUGAAGUGCCCUGAAAUUGGCAAGAGUGAGUUCCAGCUCUACCCUAUGUAUAAAGUGGAAGCAAUCAUGCAUUUUCGAAACGAUGUUGUGAAAAUCAACUCAACACUGGAUGUCGAGGUGGUGGAUGUCACCAAGGAGUCAGGGCACAUCCACUUUAUCAAGCCAUUGAUGCUCAGCGAGGUCCUGGCAAUGGAGACAGUGCUGCCAGUGGAGGCUGAGAUCCUUGGGGCCCCAGAGAGACUACCUGUCUUCCAGAGCAAGUGGGUCUGUCACUUACAGAAGGGCUGUCGGAUUCACAUCCACAGCAAGGGGUCAUCAUUGAAGAUCCUGGCCUCCUCCCACAAAGGCAAGAACCAGACCUGCCACUUCCUCAUCUCCAGCAGCUACAAAGGCCUCUUUCGCCGAUGCCCACGCAAAUUCAGCUCCACUUCAGAGCUGGUGCUCAGUUUAGCCACAGGCAAGAAACUGCAGGUGGUUGUCACUAAAGAGUGUGAGAGCAGCGAAGGGGAAUUUUCUUUGCUCAGUGUGGGAGACCGGCUAGAGGUCCUGAGCUUGGUGAGGGCCAGUGAUCCUUCGACCACAGAUGUCCUUCUGUGCUGCAGGGACAAUGGAGAUGAAGACAGAGAGCAAAUCCAUGUGCCCCUGUUCUUGGAUGCUGGCUUUGUGGAGGAUGUCCGUGACAACAGGAAAUAUACCCUCUCUGAGGCAGCAGAGCACCUGCAGCUGCCCUGCGAAGUCAAGGUGGUUAGCAGUGACUAUGCCCCAGAUCCUCCAGGCUGCUUCUCUGUCCUGACCUUGGAGGCCCAGAUCAAGUUGCCGUUUCUCAACAUCAGCCUAGCUAAGGAGCCGACCCUCACAUUUGACAUUCCUCCUCAGUGGCUGGACAUGUCUGUCUUCUUCACCAGGGGUCCACCAAAGGUCAGCCCUCCCACCAGCAGUUCCAUGGUGGAAGAGUUAACAGAGGCCUUUUAUUAUCAUUUGCUGAAGCUGCUGCCCAGCAAUGCACCAGCACCUCCAAGACCCCCUAAGCAAAAGGACUCCAAGCUCAACAUGUGCCCCCCAAAAGUCACAGAAGGGGAGAAGGAUGCAGCAGAAACCUCUAAGUUACCUUCCAGGAAGUCAAACAGCGCAUCUCAAGGGUUUGCAAAAUGUCUAUUCUCUGAGCCUAAGCAAAUAAGCACUAAUGGGCGUAUCCUUAUGCUGAACAAUCCAAACCUGGGCACCAUAAAAUAUGAAUAUGAAAGAUUCCAGAAGCCUUCCAAACCCCGUGAAGAAGCCACAGGCACAACUUUCAAUGCUGAUUCUGACAAUGACUACGAAGAAGUUGACAGUGAAGUUCAUGAAAUGGCUUGCAAAUUGCAAAGAGCUGCUAUUAAACAUUGAGAUUCCCGUCUCCAAAGCCAUGGUCCUAGUUCUUUCCUUCCCCACUCUCCUCAUUGUCAGAGCCAGCACAGGGAUGAGAAUUCUCCAUUUUUAUGCAGACUCAUCUAAUUUGCACUUUCUGGCCUAAUACACUGAUCAGAAUGUACUUAUUCUUCAGAUUCUUCUGAAUUUGGUGAUACAGUUCUUGGUUCAGAAAACAUACCAAAAUGCAUUGAAAAUACCUAUUUUAGGGUUAUAUGUGUUUAAAUGGGACAGAAUGGACUUUCAUAACACAUGUGGAAUUGACAGACCAGAAACAGACUGAUUCGUCCAUCUCUAGGCAUGUAUAAAGUAGCUGCUUUUUAUUUUCCCAUUAGUUUUAACCAGCAGCAGUGGCCUCACUUUUGAACCCAAAGCCAGGAGACAAUAGAUUGCCAAAACCUACACAGCAGGACUGUAAUUAGCAUUUGUAAACCCCAAACCAGCAGACUGUUUUGCAGUGGCUCCAGUCAUUCCUGGAGGGGUGAACCCAGAAGGUGGUAUUGGGAAAGUCCUGUUCAACUCCUUGGCCAUUGGCCUGUGGGGUCCUUCAGGGUUCAGUUUUGUCCCCUAUGUUAAACAUCUACAUGAAACCGCUGGGAGAGGUUGUUUGGGCGUUUGGGGUUCGAUGCCACCAGUAUGCUGAUGACACCCAACUCUAUUUCUCCUUUCCACCUUCUUCCAAGGAAGCUGUCUUGGUUUUAAACCGGUGUCUGACGUCAGUGGUGGAUUGGAUGAGGGUGAACAAAUUGAGGCUUAAUCCAGACAAGACAGAGGUGCUCCUGGUCAGUCAUAGGGCAGAUCAGGGAAUAGGGAUGCAGCCUGUGCUGGAUGGGGUUAUACUCCCCCUGAAGACACAGGUUUGCCGUUUGGGUGCCCUCCUGGACUCAGCUUUAAAUUUGGAUUCCCAGGUUUCUGCAGGGGCCAGGAGGGCUUUUGCACAUUUGAGAUCAGUGUGCCAACUGCGCCCGUUCCUUGACCUGUCCAAUCUGGCGACAGUGACACAUGCCUUAGUCACAUCCCAUUUAGAUUACUGUAAUGCGCUCUACGUGGGGCUGCCUCUGAAGACUGCUCAGAAACUUCAGCUGGUACACAACGUGCUGCAGCCAGAAUGUUAACUGGGGCUGAUUACAGGGACCAUACAACUCCCCUGUUAAAAAAGCUCCACUGGCUGCCAGUUUGUUUCCGGACACAAUUCAAAGUGCUGGUGCUGACCUAUAAAGCCCUACACGACUUGAGUCCAGGCUAUUUGUCAGACCGCAUCGCCCUCUAUGUGCCUGUCCGGGCCCUCAGAUCCUCAGGAGAGGCCCUUCUUUCAAUACCUUCAUCCGCACAAGUACAACUAGUGAGGAUACGAGAUAGGACCUUCUCGGUGGCUGCCCCUAGGCUUUGGAAUUCUCUCCCCAAGGAGAUAAGAAUGGCCUCUUCCUUGCAGUCCUUUCAUCGACAGGUACCUAACUGGGAACCAAUAUCAUCCCCAUAGAAUGACAGAGUUGGAAGGAACUUUGAAGGUAAUUCAGUACAACCUCCCUGCUCAGUGCAGGAUACCACAGAUGAAGCAUUCAUCCUUACUCCUCUUGUAUAUCUCCCAACACAGGGGUUUAGUGUGUAAUCCUGAACAGUAGGAUAUUAGUAUUUCCCCAUAUUGCAGAAUGUACAAAAGAGCUGAGACAAAGAGUGCCUUACUUUUAAGAAAAAAAAUGCACACCACCUGUCACUCAUCACAUAUUUAACUCAUUCAAAUUACGAUUUUGUGUACUUUCUACCCCAAAUUUGGCAUGAACCAUCCUCAAAUUUACUUCUCCUACACUGCCAAGUUUCGAAUCAGUCCACUGAACCAUUUUCUAACUAUAGGUUAUAAAACCUACUCUCCACAGUCACCCAUUUAUCAUUAUAAUGGUGGAUGCGAUUCAGCUGACUCACCCUUAAGAUAAAGCUGUGGCCCUAUAAUCAAUACAGCAUGGUAGAAAGGUAUGUGAUUUCUCCUCCUCCCCUACUUGUUUGAGUGAACUGAGCAGCUCUCCUUUCAAAACCCCGGACUGCCUAUAUGUACGUACUUGAGUAUUGGCAGAUUCAUACCACGCAACUGAGACUGCAGAUCCUGAAGACUUAUUCCCUCAGCAGACGUGGAGCUUUUAAUCAAAUUUAGAAUCUUGAAAAGAAAAAUUGGACAUGGUUAUUCAAAUAGCAGAGCAGUAUAGACUCCACACUAGUAUUCUAGCUGCUUGAAGAAUCCUCUUUAUUCAAUGCAGAUUACAAUUAUGGAACACAUUAUUCCUCCUGUUGUCUUGAUGAACAUAACUGCUGAAAUUGGAAAUGAAGGUGUGGCAAAAACAACUCAACUUUCAGCAGUGGAAUACAUGAACUUUCACUGACAUUAAAGAGGUUGAACAACUACAAAGAGGCUGGGGGGGGAGAGAGAGAGAGAGAGAGAGAGACUGACUAGUUGUACAUUUUAAAAGGCAAUUCAAGGCCUUCCUGUUCAGGAACGUCUUUAGCGGGCUUUGAUCCAAACAGGAUUUUAUUCUGGUGUUGUUCUUUUUAUAAUGAGUGUAUGGUUUGGUAUUUCAUAUUACUGUGCUUUUGUCACUGUCACGUCACAUAAUAAUCUUUACGCUUGUUGUAUUUUUUUUAUUUAGCUGUCUUAAUUAUUUGAUAGAAAAGCAAGAUAGAAGUGCCUGAAAUAUAUGUAUAUUUAAAAAUU